UUGUCCCAGUAUACCAAUAUU
This 21-nucleotide non-coding RNA is filed under the name Caenorhabditis elegans. Lineage: Eukaryota; Metazoa; Nematoda; Chromadorea; Rhabditida; Rhabditidae. The record is from RNAcentral.